This 292-nucleotide ribosomal RNA is filed under the name uncultured bacterium. RNAcentral's name for it is "partial 16S ribosomal RNA". It matches the Rfam family "Bacterial small subunit ribosomal RNA", at positions 505 to 796 of the family's 1533-position model. The record is from RNAcentral.
GUGUCAGCCGCCGCGGUAAUACGGAGGGUGCAAGCGUUAUCCGGAUUCACUGGGUUUAAAGGGUGUGUAGGCGGAUAUUUAAGUCAGUGGUGAAAUCUCCAGGCUCAACCUGGAAACUGCCAUUGAUACUAUUUAUCUUGAAUUCUGUUGAGGUGGGCGGAAUACAUCAUGUAGCGGUGAAAUGCUUAGAUAUGAUGUAGAACACCGAUUGCGAAGGCAGCUCACUAAGCAGACAUUGACGCUGAGGCACGAAAGCGUGGGGAUCAAACAGGAUUAGAAACCCGCGUAGUCC